AAACUAACAAGGAUUCCCUUAGUAACGGCGAGUGAACCGGGAAGAGCUCAAAUUUGUAAUCUGGCUGUCUUCGAUAGUCCGAGUUGUAAUCUAUAGACGUGUUUUCCGUGCUGGACCGUAUCUAAGUCCCUUGGAACAGGGUAUCAAAGAGGGUGAUAAUCCCGUGCUUGAUACGACCACCAGUGCUCUGUGAUACACGCUCUAC
RNAcentral lists this ribosomal RNA (205 nucleotides) under uncultured Saccharomycetes. RNAcentral's name for it is "partial 26S ribosomal RNA". It matches the Rfam family "Eukaryotic large subunit ribosomal RNA", at positions 62 to 261 of the family's 3401-position model. Lineage: Eukaryota; Fungi; Ascomycota; Saccharomycetes. The record is from RNAcentral.